RNAcentral lists this long non-coding RNA (2595 nucleotides) under Homo sapiens (human). RNAcentral's name for it is "HSALNT0284153". Lineage: Eukaryota; Metazoa; Chordata; Mammalia; Primates; Hominidae. The record is from RNAcentral.
CAAUGAUCGGGAUAUAAACCCAGGUAUUCAAGCCAGCAACAGCUACCCUCUUUGGGUCUCCUCCCUUUGUACGGGAGCUCUGUUUUCACUCUAUUAAAUCUUGCAACUGAAAAAAAAAUCCUGCUAGUUUAAACUUCCGUGACAAUCCAAAUAUUCCACUCCCUAGUGUUGAUAUUAUAGUAGAAGCUGAACCACCAGAUGUUGUGAAGUUUGCCAUACCAUCAGGUGCUGUGAAUCAGUUUUUAAGUUUCUUGAAAACUACAAUGGUACUUUGAGAGCUGAGUGGGUAUCUCUGGAAGGGCCUAUGAGAGAAACAAUUAGAAAGUCUUCUAAGUGACUUGUCUGGGGAUCAGCAGAGGGACCUGCUUGGGGACUAGAAAGUGGACUUCCUAUGGGAAACAUAGGGGUCCAUGCUGUGAGUCCUGCAAGAGGGCAUGCUGAGAGACAUGCUAGGGAAUACAUGUGAAGUCAUACAAGGAGACUUAUUGUGAGGCCUGGAGGGAGACAUGCUCUGAGUCCUAUAAAGAGGGCAUGCUGAGAGACAUGCAAGAGGAUAUGCCAUGAGUCCUACAAGAGGACUUGCUGUGAGUCCUGAAAAAGGCCAUUCUGUGAGUCGUUCAAAGAAACCUGUGGUAAAUCCUGCAAGAUGACAUGCUAAGAGACUUGUUAUGGUGUUUGCUGUGAGUCCUACAAAGAAAUGUGCUGAGCGUCCUACCAGAGAAUAUGCUGAGACAAGCAAAGCAAUGAAUUGUGAGAUCUUCAAAGAGACGUCCUGUGAGUUCUGCACAGAUAUUUGUUCUGGGAUGGGCAAGAACUACUGUGAGUCCCACAAGGAGACCUCUUAUGAUGCCUGAAAGGGAACUUGUUCUGGGAGUUGCAAUGGGACUUACCAUAAAACCAACAGAAGCAUAUGCUGGGGAAACUUCAAGAUCUGCAAAACAGUUAACUCAUAAGUACAACUAACAACACUGAAAAUAGAUACAACAACCAGUAAGAUUCUGAAAAGUGGAGAGAGGAACGAAGAUCAGUUAGGAACCUCAAGACCCGAGGAACAACACAGUGGUGAGCACCCUGAAUUUUCUUAUGCUUUUUAUAUCCUGAACUAGUUGCUGGAGGAACCAACAACUUGGAAAUGCCAGCAGGUGCAGACAUCAAAAGGAUAAGAAGGGAAUACUAUGAACAACUCAACACAAAUAAAUUUGACAACUUAAAUAAAGUUGACUGAUUGGCUGAAAAAGUACGAAAUACCACAGAUUAUUCAAAAUAAAACAGAUACUUGAAAUAGUCCUAUGUCUAUUAAGAAAUUUAAUUUGUAACUUGAAAACCUCACAAAAAUUAUCUUUAGUCUGAAAUAAUUUCACUGACAAAUUCUAUCAGAAAAUUGUAGCUGGACCCCUUCUUUACACCAUAUACAAAAAUCAAUUCAAGAUGGACUAAAAACUUAAAUGUAAAAUCCCAAACUAUGAAAAACCCUGAAAAACAACAUAGGCAAUACCAUUCAGUACAUAGGCACAGGAAAAGAUUUCGUGACAGAGACACCAAAAACAAUUGUAACAAAAGCAAAAAUUGACAGAUGGAUUCUAAUUAAACUAAAGCUUCUGCACAGCAAAAGCAACUAUUAGCUGAGUAAAUAGACAACCUAUGGAAUGGGAGAAAACCUUAGCAAACUAUGCAUUCAACAAAGGUCUAAUAUCCAGCAUCUAUAAGGAGCUUAAACAAAUUAAAAAAAAAAAAAAAAACCAUGUUAAAAAGUGGACAAAGGACACGAACAGACACUUUUCAAAAGAAGACAUACAUGUGGCCAACAAGCAUAUGAAAAAAUGCUCAACAUCACUGAUUAUUAGAGAAAGGCAAAUGAAAACCAUGGUGAGAUAUUAUCUCACACCAGUCUGAAUGGCUAGUAUUAAAAAGUGAAAAAAAAUAACUGAUGCUUGUGAAAUUGUGGAGAAAAGGAAUGCUUAUACUCUGUUGUUGAGUGUGUAAAUUAGUUCAGCCAUUGAGGAAGACACUGUGGCGAUUCAUCAAAGACCUAAAGACAGAAAUACCACUAGACCUACAAAUCUCAUUACUAGGCAUGUACCCAAAGGCAUAUAAAUCAUUUUAUCAUGCAGUAGUAUGUUCACUGAAGCACUAGUCACUAUAGCAAAGACAUGGCAUCAACCUAAAUGUCCACCAGUGAUAGACUGGAUAAUGAAAAUGUGGUACAUAUACACCAUGGAAUACUAUACAGCCAUAAAAAACAAGAUCAUGUGCUUUGGAGCAACAUGGAGGGACCUGGAGGCCAUUAUCCUUAGCAAACUAAUGCAGGAAUAGAAAACCAAAUACUGCAUGUUCUCUCUUAUAAGUGGGAGCUAAGUGAUGAGAACACCUUGGCAUAUAGAGGAGAACUACAGACACUGGGGCCUUUUGGAGGGUGGAAGGUGGCAGAAAGGAGAAGAUCAGGAAAAAUUACUAAUGGGUACUAGGCUUAAUAGCUGGGUGAUGAAAUAAUAUGUACAACAAAACACCAUGAGACAAGUUUACCAUGUGACAAACCUGCACUUGUAUCCCUGAACUUUCAAAAAAAUACAUUACUGGAGUAAAUUUUCUUCUGUA